RNAcentral lists this ribosomal RNA (253 nucleotides) under uncultured bacterium. Its description in RNAcentral is "partial 16S ribosomal RNA". It matches the Rfam family "Bacterial small subunit ribosomal RNA", at positions 524 to 776 of the family's 1533-position model. The record is from RNAcentral.
UACGUAGGGGGCAAGCGUUGUCCGGAAUCAUUGGGCGUAAAGCGCGUGUAGGCGGCUUGGUAAGUCCGCUGUGAAAGCCCGGGGCUCAACCCCGGGAGGCGGGUGGAUACUGUCAAGCUCGAGUCCGGAAGAGGCGAGUGGAAUUCCUGGUGUAGCGGUGAAAUGCGCAGAUAUCAGGAGGAACACCAAUGGCGAAGGCAGCUCGCUGGGACGUGACUGACGCUGAGACGCGAAAGCGUGGGGAGCAAACAGG